Long non-coding RNA from Momordica charantia (bitter melon), 1218 nucleotides. RefSeq lists it as uncharacterized. The record is from RefSeq and is a predicted model, not a curated record. Lineage: Eukaryota; Viridiplantae; Streptophyta; Magnoliopsida; Cucurbitales; Cucurbitaceae.
CUUUCGGAGAUGUGUUUCAGUGCAGACGAAGUUGUUUUUCAUUCCCCCUCCCUCCCUCUUCCGUCUCCACAAAAGCGACCGUAAGCGCUCACAAUGGCGUCAAUAGAACGGAGGUCCGUUUUCAUUUCAUGGCUUCGAUUUUCUCAUGGUUUAGUUGAGUCUGAAGGAGAUGGACGCUUUCUCUUUCUUUCUAAUGGAGCCGGAGAAUUCGUUCGCCAUUUAUCUAUCGCAAGUUUCCUGAGGACAUUAGUGUUGAUGUUGCACAUGAAGUCAGACGAGUUUCUGAGAAUGGACACAAGAACUUGAAGGUGAUUGUUGGAGUGGACGCGUCUGAUCAAGAAUCGAAGGGCUGCCGCUACUGCAGAAGUAGAGAUCAGUCUGCACUUUACGGAUCGGAAGGAACUAAAAGRUUUAUGCCUCGUAUAUCAAAAGUCAUCUUUUACCGGUAAUUUCUUUAGAAGAUCAGCAGUUAGCAACUGGAACAAGGUUGUAACUGCCACAAACACUACUCCAUUGCAAUAAAAACGCCCGAUAAUGGAACCGGAGAAUUUGUUCUUCACUUAUCUAUCGCAGUUAGUUCCCGAAGGACAUUAAUGUUGAUGUUGAACCUGAAGUCAGAUGAGUUUCUGAGAAUUGACACAAGAACUUGAAGGUGAUUGUGGGAGCAGACGCGUCUGAGCAAGAAUCGAAGGGCUGCCUCUACUGCAGGUGACCACUGUUUAUCAUUUUCAAGCGCUUUUAGUUUAUGCUGUUUUCACUUUCUCUGUUCUUUUUUCUCAAAAUGAUUUCUCCCUCGUAUACCAAGAGUCAAGAUCUUCUAUUGUCUGUCUCAUUCUGUGAGUUUUCUCUGACACUCUUCAAGCCAAGUCGAAGAUCUUCCAUCUUUCAGUGCUUAUUUCGUUAGCACAUCAGCAGUUAGCAGCCACGCUUUCUCCAAAGCGGAAAACAGGUAAGGAAUUUCUGAAAGUUCGUUCUUCAUGUCAGUUUUCUCGGACACUCUUCAAGCAAAGUUGAAGAUGGAAAUGAGAUUAGCAAUUAGCAGCCACGCUUUCUCCAUGGUUGAAAACAGGAGGUUGAAGAUCCGCAUUGAAUCCCUUUCCAGUUGAAAGUGCCAGAAACCCAACUUCAUUGCAAGAAAGACCUGACAUUGGCUAUGAAUCAGUUUGCGAGAUUAGCUGAUGGGGGCAGCAACCGUUGUUCUUGUGUUCUCUCCCCUCG